Molecule: ribosomal RNA, 326 nt
Filed under: Aporrectodea trapezoides
Lineage: Eukaryota; Metazoa; Annelida; Clitellata; Crassiclitellata; Lumbricidae
Description: partial 12S ribosomal RNA
Rfam family: Bacterial small subunit ribosomal RNA
Source: RNAcentral
GAUAAUCCACGAAAAUCUUACCCUCUCUAGAUCAACCAGCUUGUGUACUGCCGUCGUAAGCACACCUCUAAAAGUACGAGUAUGCAACUAUGUCAAACUCAUAUACGUCAGGUCAAAGUGCAGCUAAUGAAAGGGGCGACGAUGGGUUACACCCUAAAUAAAGAUACGAAAUAUGGCACCAAAAGCCACAUGAAGGUGGACUUGGACGUAACAAAAAUACAAAAUUAAAAUGAAAACGAAUCUGAGACAUGCACACAUCGCCCGUCACUCUUGCCCAAAGGUGAGAUAAGUCGUAACAAAGUAGGUGUAACGGAAGUUGCACCUGU